GUGGCAGGCACAGUGCUGGUUGACAGCCCUGGCUCAGGUGCCAUCCUCUAUGUAAAGUCAGCCUGCUCUGUCGGCUUCUGUGGAGACAAAUGCCAGAAGCGUUGCCCUCCUACUUGCUUGAGCGGACGCACCUACAACCCCUUGACGGGUCAAUGUGACGGCCUUCUGAGUUGCAAACGUCGGUUCAGCCCUUCUUGUCUUCAAGGCCUGGUGAGCUCAAGAUGUCCUCACAAUCCUGGCUGGUGGUUCUGGGAUGGACACUGCUAUUAUGUGGA
Molecule: long non-coding RNA, 275 nt
Organism: Euleptes europaea (tarantolino)
Lineage: Eukaryota; Metazoa; Chordata; Lepidosauria; Squamata; Sphaerodactylidae
Exons: 3
Source: RefSeq, a predicted model, not a curated record